AACUUUUUAAAAUAUUAUUUUCUAGUUUUGCGGCUGGCAGAUGACCCUACAAGCUCUAAACUCGCAGUUAUCUACUACAUUUUUUAUUAUUUGUUCGAGUGAUCCACACAAAUGAUUUUACGUUAUGGCCGUAAGUAGUAAUACGGAGAAUUUACAAACAGUAUCUGAAAUUUCUUCAAGCAUCGUACGUACGUGGUUAAGCCAGGUUAGCCUUCAGGAUGGGAUGAAGCCAAUCGGACUUCUAAUAAAGUGAUGCUGUUUGUAUAAAAAAAGGUAAUAUCUGCACAACUUUCAAAUUUUAAAACAUAUGUUCAACCGUCAAUUUAAUAAGAAAAAUAAAUAAUAAUAGCUAGAGAAAUAAUUUUUAUGUGAGUUUUGAUGAAUUAGUAACCGUUAGUUUUCGGUUGAAUAUGAUAUAUAGUGAUAAACUUAAUUUUCUAGGUUUAUUUUUCGAAGAUGUACAGAAACAAGUACAAAACAAUUAUCUCUCAAAACCAUUAUAAACUUGUGAGGUUGAUUUAUAUUUUAUUUAAGUUUUUGUGACUUUCAAAAUUAGAGUUAAAUUGAACUUUUAUUUUUCAUUUAAAAUUGAUGCAGGUCUAUCAUUUAAAUGAUGAUUAACCAGUGGAUGAAAGUGAUACAUAUACCAACAAAUCCAGGGUUUAUAUAUCUAAAAGAAUGUAUAUUGAAACGUAAGACAUAUACGUUUUUGGUUGAUUUGAUGCUAAAUUAUUGACUGAGAUAUUUCCAGUCUCCAUGUCCUUGUGAUGGUGUUGAGAACAAGGCAUAAUUAAAAACCAAGUUCUUAUGUUCACACAAACCUUAGAGAUAAUUGGUUAAUGAUGAAAAACCUUUUGUGUGUGUUGUCUGGCAAAAAUGAAGACAUUUGAUAAAGGGAAAGCUACGUUCUCGUACACCAAAUUUUUAACCUAUUUAGUGAGGAGACGAAAACUAUAUUGAAAACUUAAUAUGCUCAAGUAACUUAACUCUAUUUAGUAAAUAAGACAUAUUGGUAAGUUAGAAUAAAAAUAGUUUUUUUUUUGAACGAAGGGUUUUCAUAUAAUAAAAAUAGUUAGUGUCUAAUAACCUGUAAGAUAAUAAGAAAAUUGUUUUUUUUUUUAUUAAAACAUAUAUUCUACGACGGUAAAAUGGAGUGAAAGAUGCAAAGGAGUUAAGAAGAUGAAACCAGCGUAGCUGCGUAGGUUUUCUCAAAUGGAGAAAGAAUGAGAUAAUACAAUUUACGUGACUAAGAGCAGGUUCAGUGGGAGUUUGGAGAAAGAGUUCGGGCUCGGGUUUAUAGGCAAAGUGGGUUUAAAAAAAACGAAAUAAAGUUCAUUAUUGAUGGAUCGGUUCAUCCGCGCGAGUUCGACCCAUCUCUUAGCCAUGUGUCACACUGCGAUUGGAGGAGAUAUCGUGGUAAUUUUCGGGAGAGGAAAA
RNAcentral lists this long non-coding RNA (1437 nucleotides) under Eutrema salsugineum. RNAcentral's name for it is "long non-coding RNA (ESAL_LNC000062)". Lineage: Eukaryota; Viridiplantae; Streptophyta; Magnoliopsida; Brassicales; Brassicaceae. The record is from RNAcentral.